UACGGAGGGUGCGAGCGUUAAUCGGAAUUACUGGGCGUAAAGAGUUCGUAGGUGGUUGGAUAAGUUAUCUGUGAAAUCCCUGGGCUUAACCUGGGCAGGUCAGAUAAUACUGUUUGACUCGAGUAUGGGAGAGGGUAGUGGAAUUUCCGGUGUAGCGGUGAAAUGCGUAGAGAUCGGAAGGAACACCAGUGGCGAAGGCGGCUACCUGGCCUAAUACUGACACUGAGGAACGAAAGCGUGGGGAGCAAACAGG
This 253-nucleotide ribosomal RNA is filed under the name uncultured bacterium. RNAcentral describes it as "partial 16S ribosomal RNA". It matches the Rfam family "Bacterial small subunit ribosomal RNA", at positions 524 to 776 of the family's 1533-position model. The record is from RNAcentral.